This 490-nucleotide ribosomal RNA is filed under the name uncultured bacterium. RNAcentral describes it as "partial 16S ribosomal RNA". It matches the Rfam family "Bacterial small subunit ribosomal RNA", at positions 28 to 507 of the family's 1533-position model. The record is from RNAcentral.
GAUGAACGCUAGCGAUAGGCUUAACACAUGCAAGUCGAGGGGCAGCAUGGUCUUAGCUUGCUAAGACUGAUGGCGACCGGCGCACGGGUGCGUAACGCGUAUGCAACUUGCCUCACAGAGGGGGAUAACCCGUCGAAAGACGGACUAAUACCGCGUACACUUGGGAUAGGGCAUCCUGACCCAAGGAAAUGAAAUUCGCUGUGAGAUAGGCAUGCGUCCCAUUAGCUAGUUGGUGAGGUAACGGCUCACCAAGGCGACGAUAGGUAGGGGAACUGAGAGGUUGAACCCCCACACUGGUACUGAGACACGGACCAGACUCCUACGGGAGGCAGCAGUGAGGAAUAUUGGUCAAUGGGCGAGAGCCUGAACCAGCCAAGUCGCGUGAAGGAUGACUGUCUUAUGGAUUGUAAACUUCUUUUAUACGGGAAUAACAAGAGCCACGUGUGGCUCCCUGCAUGUACCGUAUGAAUAAGCAUCGGCUAACUCCGUG